CUGAGGUCUUUAAAAAUGCCUGAACCCGCCAAGUCGGCUCCGGCCCCGAAGAAGGGCUCCAAGAAGGCGGUGACCAAGGCGCAGAAGAAGGACGGCAAGAAGCGCAAGCGCAGCCGCAAGGAGAGCUACUCGGUGUACGUGUACAAGGUGCUGAAGCAGGUGCACCCCGACACCGGCAUCUCGUCCAAGGCCAUGGGCAUCAUGAACUCGUUCGUCAACGACAUCUUCGAGCGCAUCGCGGGCGAGGCGUCCCGCCUGGCGCAUUACAACAAGCGCUCGACCAUCACGUCCCGGGAGAUCCAGACGGCCGUGCGCCUGCUGCUGCCCGGGGAGCUGGCCAAGCACGCCGUGUCCGAGGGCACCAAGGCCGUCACCAAGUACACCAGCUCCAAGUGAACUUACCAACCCUGGAACAGCAUCAUACCUGCUCUUGAUAUUUAAUACUUGAUGAUUUUAGAGACAACUUUUACAAACCAUGGAAUUGUACACAUGCCCUUUCUACAAAGCAAACAAAAUAAUUACUCAAUACCUGAACAAGCAAUCAAUCAAAAUAGAGUGAUUCAAAAAUGAUGAGAUCAGUUGAAAAAGGUAAAGUUAAAUGUGAAAUAAUAUUUGUUAAAGAUAGAUGAAACUGUCUUUGAAAUGAAGUUCAAAAAUAGUUAUUGAAAAAAGAAGAAACACAUGAAAAAGGUUAACAGUUUUAAAAGGUAGGUCUAAAUCUUAAAUACUAGGAAAAUCUAAGAAGCAUGUAGGGUAGAUAUUCUGGUAAAUGAAAGUCUGCUAAUCUCACUGAACAUAGUGAAAAUCUGUAGACGCCUUUAUUUUACUCACACACACACACAUACAUGGAGAAAUAUAGAAUAAACAUUUUUUUUUAAAACAACAGACUGGAGGGCACCCCCCUUCGGGUCCCCUCAGUCCUCGGGAGCUUUGUACUAUCACUUUGCUAUCGCUCAAUAAACCUUGCUUUGCUGCCCAUCACUCUGUCUGGUCCACCUCUUCAUUUUUCGAAGUGGUGUGACCCUGAACUGUGGGCACCGAUGGAGAAAAAUCCUGCAACACCUUGACCAAAGAGAUUACAGAUGUCCAGAAAAAUAAGGUGUCCUGAGGUCACAUAGCCACACUAAGUACCUCCAAUGUUUGCUCAGAGGAAAACAAGGAAGAUGAAUAGAGGUUCUGGAGGCCAACGUAACACCACUUCAAAUCUCAGCUCUGAGCAUGAGACUCUUGAUCUCAGGGUCAUGAGUUUGAGCCCCAUGUUGGGUGUAAAGAUUACUAAAAAAAUAAAUGAAUAAAGUUAAAAAAUUAAAAAAACAACAGACUAGAAUGUUAAAUUAAUAUUAAAAAUGGGCUGUAUGGUUUCCAUAUCAUGAGAGAAUAAACUUAUUAUAAUUUUUUAAAGAAAACUGUUCUUUUACUUUCUUUGCAACUGCUUCCCUUGCUUUACUAUUCAGAAGUAGGAGAGGGCAACAAAAGUUGAUCUUAAGGAAAUGUUUAUGGCAGUAUUAUUUCAAAAAUGAAAGUUCAGAAGGUUGACUUUCCCACAAUAGAAAAUUUGCCAAAAUAAAAUUAUAGUAUUGCUUCACACACACACACACACACACACACGCAUAGAGCUAUAAAAAUGUAAUUACAUGAACAUCAGUUCUAACAUAUUAAGAGGAAGAAAAAAAAUGACCUGACACAGGUGAUGUCCAUAACUAGCUAGAGCCUUUUGAAGCCAACCUCCUGCUUCCUAGCUCCAAGACCUUGGGUGUGUUUGUAAGCAUGAGCCCAUGAGACAGAGAGGCAGAGAAUUUGCUACCUCACUUUGCAACCAGAAAUUGGAAAGUCUCAUCAUUUGAUUUCCGCUUCAGAAAUAUUUCAGAUGUAGACUCUCUCCUUUCCCACCCUACCUCCUUAGCUGAAGCCCUUGCCUUUCUUCUGAGACUAUUGCAACAGACUACCAACUUCUGACAUUGGGCCCUUUCCAAUAAUUAUUUUUUUAUGUGAAAAAUCUAAAACCAAGACAGCUACAAGAACAAUACACAAAUCCUCUCCUUAAAAACUUCAGGUCCUUCCCCAGCCUGCAAAGUAACAAGCUUCUCAUGCAGGCACUGGCGGGUCGAGGGGGCGGGGGCGGUGAUCUCCACAUGAUGGUCGUUUUGGCGUUUUCCUCUGCUGAAGCCUGGGCUUUGGCCGUACCGCGCUGCUCUCUCAACAUCGUUCUGGAAGGUCUGGCCUUGAUGAACAAAUUCCUUUCUGGACCUCUUACGAAGGCAAGUCCGAGGACAAGCCCCCAAAAGGAUCCAUCCCAGACCAUGUUCCAAUAACUCCUUCCCCGAAGCUUUGCAGGCACAUGGGCCAGCCCAGUCCUGCUAGAGAUCUGGGGCUCUGGUUCCCACGGUCUCUUCCUGCCUCCCGUUUUCGAGUUAAUUCAACCCACAGGGACUGAGGACUGGUUUAAGUCACAAACAACCCACAUGCCUUGGAGAUUACGGUUCAUGAGAUUGUUUGCCCAAAUAAAGUCGUACUCUGCAGUUUUUAGACAAUCCUAUAAGCAUCUCCUAAGCACGCAGUGAGACAUUUAAGAGAUGUGUUAUUUUCUUCACAUACAUAAAUCAUUUUCAAUAAAAGUCAAUGUGUGAAUAAUUUAUUUUCUCCACCGAUUGGAAGCCAACCGUUUGGAAAACCACUCAGAAGAGCUGAGGUAAGCCUCUCGCUCAAAAUUACUUUUAAAUAUACAAGGAAAAGAGGAAGUUUUCUUCUUCUCCUUGAGUUUUGCUGAAAAUCGAGAGCUUUAUCUAAUAGUUUUGGCAUUCGGGGUCAUUUUUCAUGAAAAGGUUAAAAGGCACGUGAAAUCCGAGUCUCCACGGAUUACCCACCAGUGAAGCGUGGGCGUUUCUGCUCGGAGGAUUUGUGUGGGAUCCAACUUUUGGGGGUAAAACAAACACAAAUAUUCCACCCCCGGGGGGCGGGGCGGCGCCCGGGGGA
Zalophus californianus (California sea lion) is the source of this 2973-nucleotide RNA transcript. It is a transcript of the gene named histone H2B type 1-C/E/F/G/I, with no coding region annotated. Lineage: Eukaryota; Metazoa; Chordata; Mammalia; Carnivora; Otariidae. The record is from RefSeq and is a predicted model, not a curated record. The transcript is spliced from 3 exons.